This 301-nucleotide ribosomal RNA is filed under the name uncultured bacterium. RNAcentral describes it as "partial 16S ribosomal RNA". It matches the Rfam family "Bacterial small subunit ribosomal RNA", at positions 509 to 807 of the family's 1533-position model. The record is from RNAcentral.
CAGCCGCCGCUGUAAUACGUAGGGUGCGAGCGUUGUCCGGAAUUAUUGGGCGUAAAGAGCUUGUAGGUGGUUUGUCGCGUCUGCUGUGAAAAUCCGAGGCUCAACCUCGGACUUGCAGUGGGUACGGGCAGACUAGAGUGUGGUAGGGGAGACUGGAAUUCCUGGUGUAGCGGUGGAAUGCGCAGAUAUCAGGAGGAACACCGAUGGCGAAGGCAGGUCUCUGGGCCAUUACUGACACUGAGAAGCGAAAGCAUGGGGAGCGAACAGGAUUAGAUACCCCAGUAGUCCCUGUCUCUUAUAC